GUAUUAGGUUGGUGCAAAAGUAAUUUCAGUUUUCUAUCACUUUCAAUGGCAAAAACUGCAAUCACUUUUGCACCAACCU
Cercocebus atys (sooty mangabey) is the source of this 79-nucleotide microRNA precursor. The record is from Ensembl. Lineage: Eukaryota; Metazoa; Chordata; Mammalia; Primates; Cercopithecidae.